This is a long non-coding RNA of Harpia harpyja (harpy eagle), 307 nucleotides long. RefSeq lists it as uncharacterized. The transcript is spliced from 3 exons. NCBI's taxonomy places the organism in Eukaryota, Metazoa, Chordata, Aves, Accipitriformes, Accipitridae. The record is from RefSeq and is a predicted model, not a curated record.
CAAAGAUCGGUAUUCAGGGAAGAAGACCAAGAUGUUGUGACAGAUGCUAAUCUGCCUGGAAAAUAUUGAGCCUUUGCUACCAUUCUCAGGUCCUAUUUCUGAAGAUGUUCACUGUCGGCAACUUGUAGGCAAAUCACUGGAAUCUAGGGAUGCUCAGCCCUGAUGCCGAUUAUUUUUAUCACAAUUCGGAGUAUUUUCUUUGAGCUCCACGUAGAAGGCCAAGUUCUCAACUGGAAUGUCAAUCACUAUCAAGAAGUUGGAACUUGCCAGAGGUCACAUUUGAAGUCAGAUCAAGAGUUGGUGCAUU